UACGUAGGGACCAAGCGUUGUUCGGAUUUACUGGGCGUAAAGGGUGCGUAGGCGGCGUGGUAAGUCAGCUGUGAAAUCUCCGAGCUUAACUCGGAACGGUCAGCUGAUACUGCUGUGCUAGAGUGCAGGAAGGGCAAUCGGAAUUCUUGGUGUAGCGGUGAAAUGCGUAGAUAUCAAGAGGAACACCUGAGGCGAAGGCGGGUUGCUAGACUGACACUGACGCUGAGGCACGAAAGCUAGGGGAGCAAACAGG
RNAcentral lists this ribosomal RNA (253 nucleotides) under uncultured bacterium. Its description in RNAcentral is "partial 16S ribosomal RNA". It matches the Rfam family "Bacterial small subunit ribosomal RNA", at positions 524 to 776 of the family's 1533-position model. The record is from RNAcentral.